AACGCACAUUGCGCCCGCUAGUAUUCUGGCGGGCAUGCCUGUUCGAGCGUCAUUUCAACCAUCAAGCCCUAGGCUUGUGUUGGGGCCCUGCGGCCGUCCGCAGCCCCCUAAAAACAGUGGCGGGCUCGCUAUAUACCGAGUGCAGUAGUUUACUCUUCGCUCAGGACAUGUAGUGGGUUCUUGCCGUAAAACCUCCCAUUUUUUAAGGUUGACCUCGGAUCAGGUAGGAAUACCCGCUGAACUUAA
This 246-nucleotide unclassified non-coding RNA is filed under the name uncultured Apodus. RNAcentral describes it as "sequence contains ITS2". Lineage: Eukaryota; Fungi; Ascomycota; Sordariomycetes; Sordariales; Lasiosphaeriaceae. The record is from RNAcentral.